UUGGAUUUCCUUACCAGUGUUCA
RNAcentral lists this small nuclear RNA (23 nucleotides) under Arabidopsis thaliana (thale cress). RNAcentral describes it as "snRNA_00695". The record is from RNAcentral. Lineage: Eukaryota; Viridiplantae; Streptophyta; Magnoliopsida; Brassicales; Brassicaceae.